This 1457-nucleotide ribosomal RNA is filed under the name uncultured bacterium. RNAcentral's name for it is "16S ribosomal RNA". It matches the Rfam family "Bacterial small subunit ribosomal RNA". The record is from RNAcentral.
AGAGUUUGAUCCUGGCUCAGAGUGAACGCUGGCGGCGUGCCUAAUACAUGCAAGUCGAACGAUGAAGCUCUAGCUUGCUAGAGUGGAUUAGUGGCGCACGGGUGAGUAAUGCAUAGAUAACAUGCCCUUUAGUCUAGGAUAGCCAUUGGAAACGAUGAUUAAUACUGGAUACUCCUUACGAGGGAAAGUUUUUCGCUAAAGGAUUGGUCUAUGUCCUAUCAGCUUGUUGGUGAGGUAAUGGCUCACCAAGGCUAUGACGGGUAUCCGGCCUGAGAGGGUGAACGGACACACUGGAACUGAGACACGGUCCAGACUCCUACGGGAGGCAGCAGUAGGGAAUAUUGCUCAAUGGGGGAAACCCUGAAGCAGCAACGCCGCGUGGAGGAUGAAGGUUUUCGGAUUGUAAACUCCUUUUGUUAGAGAAGAUAAUGACGGUAUCUAACGAAUAAGCACCGGCUAACUCCGUGCCAGCAGCCGCGGUAAUACGGAGGGUGCAAGCGUUACUCGGAAUCACUGGGCGUAAAGAGCGCGUAGGCGGGAUAGCAAGUCAGAUGUGAAAUCCUAUGGCUUAACCAUAGAACUGCAUUUGAAACUGUUAUUCUAGAGUAUGGGAGAGGUAGGUGGAAUUCUUGGUGUGGGGGUAAAAUCCGUAGAGAUCAAGAGGAAUACUCAUUGCGAAGGCGACCUGCUAGAACAUAACUGACGCUGAUGCGCGAAAGCGUGGGGAGCAAACAGGAUUAGAUACCCUGGUAGUCCACGCCCUAAACGAUGAAUGCUAGUUGUUGUGGAGCUUGUCUCUGCAGUAAUGCAGCUAACGCAUUAAGCAUUCCGCCUGGGGAGUACGGUCGCAAGAUUAAAACUCAAAGGAAUAGACGGGGACCCGCACAAGCGGUGGAGCAUGUGGUUUAAUUCGAAGAUACACGAAGAACCUUACCUAGGCUUGACAUUGAUAGAAUCCGCUAGAGAUAGUGGAGUGCUAGCUUGCUAGAACUUGAAAACAGGUGCUGCACGGCUGUCGUCAGCUCGUGUCGUGAGAUGUUGGGUUAAGUCCCGCAACGAGCGCAACCCUCGUCCUUAGUUGCUAACUAUUCGGUAGAGCACUCUAAGGAGACUGCCUUCGCAAGGAGGAGGAAGGUGAGGAUGACGUCAAGUCAUCAUGGCCCUUACGCCUAGGGCUACACACGUGCUACAAUGGGAAGCACAAAGAGAUGCAAUAUUGUGAAAUGGAGCAAAUCUAUAAAACUUCUCUCAGUUCGGAUUGUAGUCUGCAACUCGACUACAUGAAGCUGGAAUCGCUAGUAAUCGUAAAUCAGCUAUGUUACGGUGAAUACGUUCCCGGGUCUUGUACUCACCGCCCGUCACACCAUGGGAGUUGUAUUCGCCUUAAGUCGGAAUGCCAAACUGGCUACCGCCCACGGCGGAUGCAGCGACUGGGGUGAAGUCGUAACAAGGUAACC